UACGAAGGGUGCAAGCGUUACUCGGAAUUACUGGGCGUAAAGGGCGCGUAGGCGGUCAGCACAAGUCAGUUGUGAAAUCUCCGAGCUUAACUCGGAAAGGUCAACUGAUACUGUGCGACUAGAGUGCAGAAGGGGCAACUGGAAUUCUUGGUGUAGCGGUGAAAUGCGUAGAUAUCAAGAGGAACACCUGCGGCGAAGGCGGGUUGCUGGGCUGACACUGACGCUGAAGCGCGAAAGCCAGGGGAGCGAACGGG
This 254-nucleotide ribosomal RNA is filed under the name uncultured bacterium. RNAcentral's name for it is "partial 16S ribosomal RNA". It matches the Rfam family "Bacterial small subunit ribosomal RNA", at positions 524 to 776 of the family's 1533-position model. The record is from RNAcentral.